RNAcentral lists this ribosomal RNA (383 nucleotides) under uncultured bacterium. RNAcentral's name for it is "bacterial SSU rRNA". It matches the Rfam family "Bacterial small subunit ribosomal RNA", at positions 132 to 507 of the family's 1533-position model. The record is from RNAcentral.
AGUCGUGGGGGAUAACGUAGACGAAAGCUACGCUAAUACCGCAUACGAUCUAUGGAUGAAAGCGGGGGAUCGCAAGACCUCGCGCGAUUGGAGCGGCCGAUAUCAGAUUAGGUAGUUGGUGAGGUAAAGGCUCACCAAGCCGACGAUCUGUAGCUGGUCUGAGAGGACGACCAGCCACACUGGGACUGAGACACGGCCCAGACUCCUACGGGAGGCAGCAGUGGGGGAAUUUUUAGACAAUGGGCGCAAGCCUGAUCCAGCAAUGCCGCGUGCAGGAUGAAGGCCUUCGGGUCGUAAACUGCUUUUGUACGGAACGAAACGGUGAGCUCUAAUACAGUUUGCUAAUGACGGUACCGUAAGAAUAAGCACCGGCUAACUACGUG